Molecule: small nucleolar RNA, 133 nt
Organism: Callithrix jacchus (white-tufted-ear marmoset)
Lineage: Eukaryota; Metazoa; Chordata; Mammalia; Primates; Cebidae
Source: Ensembl
AUUCUUUUGUGGCUCAUGGCUUGGGAUUUUCAUGCUAAACAUUUUUAACUUGUAAGAUUGAGACUUCACACUAAUCUGUGAGAUAUGCCUCCCUCAAACCUUGCUACAGUAUUGGCACAUUAUUCAUCUCAUA